CGGGAUCCAGAGUUUGAUCCUGGUCAGAACGAACGCUGGCGGCGUGCCUAAUACAUGCAAGUCGAGCGGAGAUAAUGGAGCUUGCUCCAUUAUCUUAGCGGCGGACGGGUGAGUAACACGUGGGCAACCUGCCCUGCAGAUCGGGAUAACCCCGGGAAACCGGUGCUAAUACCGAAUAGUUUGCGGCCUCUCAUGAGGCUGCACGGAAAGACGGUUUCGGCUGUCACUGCAGGAUGGGCCCGCGGCGCAUUAGCUAGUUGGUGAGGUAACGGCUCACCAAGGCCACGAUGCGUAGCCGACCUGAGAGGGUGAUCGGCCACACUGGGACUGAGACACGGCCCAGACUCCUACGGGAGGCAGCAGUAGGGAAUCUUCCGCAAUGGACGAAAGUCUGACGGAGCAACGCCGCGUGAGUGAAGAAGGUUUUCGGAUCGUAAAACUCUGUUGUGAGGGAAGAACAAGUACCAACUAACUACUGGUACCUUGACGGUACCUCACCAGAAAGCCACGGCUAACUACGUGCCAGCAGCCGCGGUAAUACGUAGGUGGCAAGCGCUGUCCGGAAUUAUUGGGCGUAAAGCGCGCGCAGGCGGUCCUUUAAGUCUGAUGUGAAAGCCCACGGCUCAACCGUGGAGGGUCAUUGGAAACUGGGGGACUUGAGUGCAGAAGAGGAAAGUGGAAUUCCACGUGUAGCGGUGAAAUGCGUAGAGAUGUGGAGGAACACCAGUGGCGAAGGCGACUUUCUGGUCUGUAACUGACGCUGAGGCGCGAAAGGAGCAUGUGGUUUAAUUCGAAGCAACGCGAAGAACCUUACCAGGUCUUGACAUCCCGCUGACCGCCUAGGAGACUAGGCUUUCCCUUCGGGGACAGCGGUGACAGGUGGUGCAUGGUUGUCGUCAGCUCGUGUCGUGAGAUGUUGGGUUAAGUCCCGCAACGAGCGCAACCCUUGAUCUUAGUUGCCAGCAUUCAGUUGGGCACUCUAAGGUGACUGCCGGUGACAAACCGGAGGAAGGUGGGGAUGACGUCAAAUCAUCAUGCCCCUUAUGACCUGGGCUACACACGUGCUACAAUGGACGGUACAAAGGGCUGCAAACCCGCGAGGGGGAGCCAAUCCCAGAAAACCGUUCUCAGUUCGGAUUGCAGGCUGCAACUCGCCUGCAUGAAGCCGGAAUCGCUAGUAAUCGCGGAUCAGCAUGCCGCGGUGAAUACGUUCCCGGGCCUUGUACACACCGCCCGUCACACCACGAGAGUUUGUAACACCCGAAGUCGGUGGGGUAACCCUUACGGGAGCCAGCCGCCGAAGGUGGGACAGAUGAUUGGGGUGAAGUCGUAACAAGGUAGCCGUAGGAUCCGAAUCGGAUCCCG
This 1365-nucleotide ribosomal RNA is filed under the name Planococcus sp. Ka-3. RNAcentral describes it as "partial 16S ribosomal RNA". It matches the Rfam family "Bacterial small subunit ribosomal RNA". Lineage: Bacteria; Bacillati; Bacillota; Bacilli; Caryophanales; Caryophanaceae. The record is from RNAcentral.